CCAGGCAAAUGUUUUCUUUGCUUAAAAAUGUUGGAAAACUUUCCUGAAAAUUCUAUAAAGCCUCAGCAGCCUGCUAUUAGACGAUCAAACACAAAGGAAUGUUCAUAAUAAUCAAACACAAGAUUAACGAGCCGAACAAAUUGCAUUGAUGCGGGACCAAUAUGCACAGGUUCGCCCUGCAGAAGAGACAAACUUUUGCUAGAAGAAGACAAGCUGUAAAUUUAGACUCAAAUCUCGCUUGCAUAACAGAUACGAUUCUACAAUCGACUCAGCUGAAGUUAGUUUCUAUUGGAUACUGAUGUAAGUUCUUUCAGAUCUGUUUUGUUGGCGAUUCAGAAGUUGAACUAAAUCAAUGCCAAAUUCUUCUGUAUGAGCAUAAUGAAUUGGACAGAUUGUUUACAUUCGCAUUAGAUACCAUGCAUUCCGACGACCACAAAAUCAUUAUCAGAUCAGACAAAAUUUACAAUUUAUAAUGGCCAAUUCUCUGACAGGAUUGCCUAUCAUUUCUCUUUCAUUCCACAAUAAGUUUAAAUUUAUGUUUAAGGAAAAGAAACGAAUGAGGUCAGCUUAAUGAAUUUUUAAGCGUUUAGAUUGAUUAUUUGGCAAAAUGUUGACAAUCAUUUCUUAGACCGGAUAGUCUCAAUUUUAAGCAGAUGAUACUACUCCUACUAAUCUCGGUCGUUUAACAUUCUUCCAGUUCUGAUGUUUGAAGCCCUCGUCAUAUACAUAAGAACGCUCAAGAUGCCAUGAAUUACGGAUUUAUUCACCACUUUCACGUGCAGUACGAGAUGGCCAGAAAUUUCGAAUCUGCGAUUGACAUGACAUUAACGCCCGAGUAUUCAAAUAUAAGAUGAGAAAACUUAAGGAUUAGAUCUUUAAGCAAAGGAUCGUUUAACGGAGUUCCCUGUUGGAUGUUCUCGAUUGAAUGGCGUAGUUUACCGCACGCUUUGGAUGCUCUACAAGAUCCGGCCUGAUAAAUUAUCUGCAUUUUGUUAUCACUCUGGGAUUAUAUAAAACAUUGAUUAGGGACGUGACAAAGAUCGUCGCGCCCUCAUGUUUAUUAUAU
Long non-coding RNA from Drosophila serrata, 1066 nucleotides. RefSeq lists it as uncharacterized. Lineage: Eukaryota; Metazoa; Arthropoda; Insecta; Diptera; Drosophilidae. The record is from RefSeq and is a predicted model, not a curated record.